AGAGUUUGAUCAUGGCUCAGGAUGAACGCUGGCGGCGUGCCUAACACAUGCAAGUCGAGCGAUCUUCUUCGGAAGAGAGCGGCGGACGGGUGAGUAACGCGUGGGUAACCUGCCUCAUACACAUGGAUAACAUACCGAAAGGUAUGCUAAUACAAGAUGAUAUAAGAGAUUCGCAUGGAUUUCUUAUCAAAGCUCCGGCGGUAUGAGAUGGACCCGCGUCUGAUUAGCUAGUUGGUAAGGUAACGGCUUACCAAGGCGACGAUCAGUAGCCGACCUGCGAGGGUGAUCGGCCACAUUGGAACUGAGACACGGUCCAAACUCCUACGGGAGGCAGCAGUGGGGAAUAUUGCACAAUGGGCGAAAGCCUGAUGCAGCAACGCCGCGUGAGCGAUGAAGGCCUUCGGGUCGUAAAGCUCUGUCCUCAAGGAAGAUAAUGACGGUACUUGAGGAGGAAGCCCCGGCUAACUACGUGCCAGCAGCCGCGGUAAUACGUAGGGGGCUAGCGUUAUCCGGAUUUACUGGGCGUAAAGGGUGCGUAGGUGGUUUCUUAAGUCAGGAGUGAAAGGCUACGGCUCAACCGUAGUAAGCUCUUGAAACUGGGAAACUUGAGUGCAGGAGAGGAAAGUGGAAUUCCUAGUGUAGCGGUGAAAUGCGUAGAUAUUAGGAGGAACACCAGUAGCGAAGGCGGCUUUCUGGACUGUAACUGACACUGAGGCACGAAAGCGUGGGGAGCAAACAGGAUUAGAUACCCUGGUAGUCCACGCCGUAAACGAUGAGUACUAGGUGUCGGGGGUUACCCCCCUCGGUGCCGCAGCUAACGCAUUAAGUACUCCGCCUGGGGGAGUACGCUCGCAAGAGUGAAACUCAAAGGAAUUGACGG
This 880-nucleotide ribosomal RNA is filed under the name uncultured bacterium. RNAcentral's name for it is "bacterial SSU rRNA". It matches the Rfam family "Bacterial small subunit ribosomal RNA", at positions 8 to 916 of the family's 1533-position model. The record is from RNAcentral.